RNAcentral lists this ribosomal RNA (352 nucleotides) under Nanos dubitatus. RNAcentral describes it as "partial 16S ribosomal RNA". Lineage: Eukaryota; Metazoa; Arthropoda; Insecta; Coleoptera; Scarabaeidae. The record is from RNAcentral.
ACCUGCCCUAUGAUUAAAAAUUAAAUGGCUGCGGUAUUUUGACCGUGCAAAGGUAGCAUAAUAAUUAGUUUUUUAAUUGGGAACUGGUAUGAAAGGUCGAACGAGAAAGAAACUGUCUCAAUUUAAUUUAAAUUAGAAUUUUAUUUUUAAGUAAAAAAGCUUAAAUAUAUUUAAAAGACGAGAAGACCCUAUAGAGUUUUAUAUUAAGAUAAUUAUGUAGGAAAUUAAAGGAUUAUUUUUUUUAUAAUUAUUAAAAUAUUUGGUUGGGGCGAUUGAAAAAUUUAAUAAACUUUUUUUAAAUUAUAACAUUGAUUUAUGAAUAAGUGAUCCAUAUUUAAUGAUUAUAAGAUUA